This 253-nucleotide ribosomal RNA is filed under the name uncultured bacterium. Its description in RNAcentral is "partial 16S ribosomal RNA". It matches the Rfam family "Bacterial small subunit ribosomal RNA", at positions 524 to 776 of the family's 1533-position model. The record is from RNAcentral.
UACGGAGGAUGCAAGCGUUAUCCGGAAUGAUUGGGCGUAAAGCGUCCGCAGGUGGCUAUGUAAGUCUGCUGUUAAAGAGUGAGGCUCAACCUCAUAAGAGCAGUGGAAACUACAUGGCUAGAGUGCGUUCGGGGCAGAGGGAAUUCCUGGUGUAGCGGUGAAAUGCGUAGAGAUCAGGAAGAACACCGGUGGCGAAAGCGCUCUGCUAGGCCGCAACUGACACUCAUGGACGAAAGUUAGGGGAGCGAAUGGG